AUGCUCACUUCGGCAGCACAUAUACUAAAAUUAGAACAGUACAGAGAAGUUUAGCAUGGCUCCUGUGCAAGAAUGACACACAAAUUCAUGAAGUGUUAUAAAUGCAC
Small nuclear RNA from Perognathus longimembris pacificus (Pacific pocket mouse), 107 nucleotides. NCBI's taxonomy places the organism in Eukaryota, Metazoa, Chordata, Mammalia, Rodentia, Heteromyidae. The record is from RefSeq and is a predicted model, not a curated record.